GACGAACGCUGGCGGCGUGCUUAACACAUGCAAGUCGAACGGAAAGGCCCUGCUUUUGUGGGGUGCUCAAGUGGCGAACGGGUGAGUAACACGUGAGUAACCUGCCCUUGACUUUGGGAUAACUUCAGGAAACUGGGGCUAAUACCGGAAAGGAGUUCCUGCUGCAUGGUGGGGGUUGGAAAGUUUCGGCGGUUGGGGAUGGACUCGCGGCCUAUCAGCUUGUUGGUGGGGUAGUGGCUUACCAAGGCUUUGACGGGUAGCCGGCCUGAGAGGGUGGCCGGCCACCUUGGGGCGGAGGGAAGGCCCGAACUGCUUCCGGCGGGAGGAGGGAGGAAGUAUUCCUAAUGGGCGGAAGCCAGGUUGAGGAACGGCCGCUGCGGGAAGGACGACGUUCGGUUGAUUACCCCCUUUUGCCGUGAGGGAAGGGAAAGGACGGUAAUGGGUAAAGAAGCACCGGCUAACUACGUG
Molecule: ribosomal RNA, 468 nt
Filed under: uncultured bacterium
Lineage: Bacteria
Description: partial 16S ribosomal RNA
Rfam family: Bacterial small subunit ribosomal RNA
Source: RNAcentral